This 1036-nucleotide long non-coding RNA is filed under the name Felis catus (domestic cat). RNAcentral's name for it is "lncRNA (ENSFCAG00000051305.1)". The record is from RNAcentral. Lineage: Eukaryota; Metazoa; Chordata; Mammalia; Carnivora; Felidae.
UUGCAUGCUGUAGACUUUUAAUAAAUAUUUGUUUAAUGAACCAAUGAACAGGAGACAUUUACACUGGGGGUGUAAACAAACUUGAGUUGAGACACCCCCACGACACACUUUCUUUCUGCCCGGCAGUGCCCUCAUUGUCUCCCCUGGCACCACACCAUCGCAGCCCCGCUCAGUGGCCGGCCAGUGACAAAAGGGUGAUGUGGGGAUGCGGCCACCCAACGCAGCAUUAAUUCUCACCCUCCACGUCUGCGUCUUGUCAAGGUUUUCAGAUCGUCAUCGGAGGGGAAGUGUGAGGGACAGAGAAAGUUACGCAAAAAUGUUAGCUGCCGUGGAAACGGACGACAGAAUGUUAGCGCAAGUCAGUUGGCAAACAGAAGUGUCUCCACGAAUGCGGAGCCUAGGGCAGUGCCCGGCAGGUGGGAGCUGCUCACUACGUCUGGCAUCCCAACUCCACAGUUCAUCAGCUGCUACGGACACAGCUUGUCAGGAGGGACUCUCCCCUCCAGGACGUUCGGGACUCAGUCUCCAGUCAAAAAUUGUGACCAUUGCACCAAGGCUGCCAAGAGGGAGACCAAUUAGUACAAAGUAGGACCACUGCUUCUUCAGACGUGAAAUUGAAAGACCAGAGAAAGAAAUAGAUUACCUAGUACGUUUUGAGAUGUGAAGUUAACUUGGCCAUUUUAAAGAAUUUAGAAGGAUGUUUUUCCUGUCCGAAUGACCGGAAGCCAGCUUCUUCUAGAAGUUUUUGGAAGUCCCCUUGUACCCAUCGUAUUGUCGUGUUCAAUUAAAACAUAUUCAGAGGAACAUGAAAUGAUUAGUUAACUCAAACAUACUCUAUCGGUGCCUCCGUGAGGUCCUUUAAUGCUGAUGAAAACAUGCCUCGUGGGACAGACUCAGUCCCUGCUGUGUCUCUGACGGCAUGGGAUCGGAUCCAAUGACUUGAGAAAAGAAAUAUGGUGAUUUUCCUACAAACCCCGAGAGCUGGUUUGUGUUAGCUUUGUUGCAUUAAAAAAUAAAAUAAAAGGGGCUUCAAACA